GGAAUAUUGGGCAAUGGAGGCAACUCUGACCCAGCCAUGCCGCGUGCAGGAAGACGGUCCUCUGGAUUGUAAACUGCUUUUGAAUGGGAAGAACAUACAGUUUGCGAACUGUACUGACGGUACUAUUAGAAUACGCACCGGCUACCUACGUGCCAGCAGCCGCGGUACUCAGGAGGGUGCAAGCGUUAUCCGGAUUUAUUGGGUUUAAAGGGUGCGUAGGCGGCCUUAUAAGUCGGUGGUUAAAGGUAGCAGCUUAACUGUUUUACAUGCCAUCGAUACUGUAGGGCUUGAGUGAUUUGGAGGUAGCUAGUAUUCCCUGUGUAGCGGUGAAAUGCAUAGAUACGGGGAGGAAUACCGAUUGCGAAGGCAUGUUACUACGAAUUAACUGACGCUGAGGCACGAAAGCGUGGGGAUCAAAC
Molecule: ribosomal RNA, 419 nt
Filed under: uncultured bacterium
Lineage: Bacteria
Description: bacterial SSU rRNA
Rfam family: Bacterial small subunit ribosomal RNA
Source: RNAcentral